AGAGGGGGCAAGCGUUGUUCGGAAUUACUGGGCGUAAAGGGCGCGUAGGCGGCCUACUAAGUCGAACGUGAAAUCCCUGGGCUCAACCCAGGAACUGCGUCCGAGACUGGAAGGCUCGAAUCCGGGAGAGGGAUGUGGAAUUCCAGGUGUAGCGGUGAAAUGCGUAGAUAUCUGGAGGAACAUCGGUGGCGAAGGCGGCAUCCUGGACCGGUAUUGACGCUGAGGCGCGAAAGCCAGGGGAGCAAACGGGAUUAGAUACCCCGGUAGUCCUGGCCCUAAACGAUGAAUGCUUGGUGUGGCGGGUAUCGAUCCCUGCCGUGCCGAAGCUAACGCAUUAAGCAUUCCGCCUGGGGAGUACGGUCGCAAGGCUG
Molecule: ribosomal RNA, 371 nt
Filed under: uncultured bacterium
Lineage: Bacteria
Description: bacterial SSU rRNA
Rfam family: Bacterial small subunit ribosomal RNA
Source: RNAcentral